AGGUGCACUUAGCUGUGCUUAAUUGGGAAUGUGAGUGAGAAUCUCCGACUGUCCCGCAGCAGUGAACUCCAUUAUGGCUCCUAAGCAUAAACGCCAUUGAGUAUUUGCUCGAGAAGGCGCUUGGGAGUGGAGGAAAGUCUGAAGACCAGCCUUUUUCGGUU
Molecule: non-coding RNA, 161 nt
Filed under: uncultured Prevotella sp.
Lineage: Bacteria; Pseudomonadati; Bacteroidota; Bacteroidia; Bacteroidales; Prevotellaceae
Source: RNAcentral